GGCUCAGAACGAACGCUGGCGGCAGGCUUAACACAUGCAAGUCGAGCGCCCCGCAAGGGGAGCGGCAGACGGGUGAGUAACGCGUGGGAAUCUACCCUUGACUACGGAAUAACGCAGGGAAACUUGUGCUAAUACCGUAUGUGUCCUUCGGGAGAAAGAUUUAUCGGUCAAGGAUGAGCCCGCGUUGGAUUAGCUAGUUGGUGGGGUAAAGGCCUACCAAGGCGACGAUCCAUAGCUGGUCUGAGAGGAUGAUCAGCCACAUUGGGACUGAGACACGGCCCAAACUCCUACGGGAGGCAGCAGUGGGGAAUAUUGGACAAUGGGCGCAAGCCUGAUCCAGCCAUGCCGCGUGAGUGAUGAAGGCCCUAGGGUUGUAAAGCUCUUCACCGGAGAAGAUAAUGACG
RNAcentral lists this ribosomal RNA (404 nucleotides) under Rhizobium hidalgonense. RNAcentral's name for it is "bacterial SSU rRNA". It matches the Rfam family "Bacterial small subunit ribosomal RNA", at positions 21 to 456 of the family's 1533-position model. Lineage: Bacteria; Pseudomonadati; Pseudomonadota; Alphaproteobacteria; Hyphomicrobiales; Rhizobiaceae. The record is from RNAcentral.